CGAGUAAGCUGAGCGACCGCGGGCAUAAGGCGAAAGCCUGUGCGUGAGGAAAGUCCGGGCUCCAUAGGGCAGGGAUAACGGGUAACGCCCGCCGGAGGCAACUUCAGGACAAGUGCAACAGAGAUAUACCGCCGCGUCCGCGCGGUAAGGGUGGAAAGGCGAGGUAAGAGCUCACCCGGCGGCUGGGAACAGUCCGCCGCUGUAAACUCUAUCCGGAGCAACACCGUGGGAGGACAUAUGGCUUGCCCGGCCGUCCUCAGGAGGUGGCUGAAGCCCCGCGGCAACGCAGGGCUUAGAUAGAUGGUCGUUCACGACAGAACCCGGCUUACAGGCUUGCUCGCAUA
This 344-nucleotide RNase P RNA is filed under the name Oscillospiraceae bacterium. RNAcentral's name for it is "RNase P RNA component class A". It matches the Rfam family "Bacterial RNase P class A". From Rfam's summary of the family: Ribonuclease P (RNase P) is a ubiquitous endoribonuclease, found in archaea, bacteria and eukarya as well as chloroplasts and mitochondria. Its best characterised activity is the generation of mature 5'-ends of tRNAs by cleaving the 5'-leader elements of precursor-tRNAs. Lineage: Bacteria; Bacillati; Bacillota; Clostridia; Eubacteriales; Oscillospiraceae. The record is from RNAcentral.